GACAGAGGGUGCAAACGUUGCUCGGAAUCACUGGGCGUAAAGGGCGUGUAGGCGGGCAGGUAAGUCGGGCGUGAAAUCCCUGAGCUCAACUCAGGAACUGCACUCGAAACUACUUGUCUUGAGUAUCGGAGAGGAAAGCGGAAUACCUGGUGUAGAGGUGAAAUUCGUAGAUAUCAGGUGGAACACCAGUGGCGAAGGCGGCUUUCUGGACGGUAACUGACGCUGAGACGCGAAAGCGUGGGGAGCAAACAGG
Molecule: ribosomal RNA, 253 nt
Filed under: uncultured bacterium
Lineage: Bacteria
Description: partial 16S ribosomal RNA
Rfam family: Bacterial small subunit ribosomal RNA
Source: RNAcentral